CCUUUUCAGUUUGAGGUCUACCUGAAGAUGUUCAGAACAGGCAGUGUCCCCACUGGAAAGGACAUGCUAGACUCUGGGCCCUGGAUUACAGUUGGGUCUCCCUUGAAAGAUGGUAUUCUAAUUAAGCAGGCGCUCAAACUCCUUUACAGCAAUGUGUCGCUAUACAGGAAUCCUAAAUGCUGGAGUUCCCUCAUCAUGAUUUUGGGUAGUAGCAGUUUGCUGGAAAAAAGUGGGCACCUACAUCCCCUAUCCCUGAAAGAGCCACCGCUUGACUUCCAAAAGGGAGUGCUCGCUGCCAGUGGUGGCCUUUUGGAGGAACUGAAGGCAAAAAUUAAUGUUUCUUUACCACCUGCUAUUUUCUCUCCUCAUGUAAUUGCACCAUGAGGCUUGUCUUAUUCUCGCAGUGCAAGCAGUACAACAGAUGCUUUUUUGUGAUCUUCCAUACUUGACUUCCUUCUUGGAGAUAGCCCUGGCUUUUGGGAAUAACUUUUGGGCUCUGAGGCUGUUAUUGGAGCAUCUUUCCUAUGAAGAACAUGUUCUACAUGGCACUGUCAACCUGAUUUUGAGAGAUCUAAAUCGUCAGAAAGCAACAAUGCUAAAACUGUGGCAAAACCUUGGUCCCCAGUACGUGGGUGAAUUCCUUUGCCUGUUCCUGACAUGCAGACAUAAGAAGAUGCAGUCCAUUGGCCUGUUCACUCUGAAUAUUAUUACAGAGAAUCUGCAUAUGUGUCCAUGGGCAAAGCAUCUUUGCAACUUCUUUCACAAUGCAGGAUUAAGGCACCUGCCCCU
Nipponia nippon (crested ibis) is the source of this 789-nucleotide non-coding RNA. The record is from RefSeq and is a predicted model, not a curated record. NCBI's taxonomy places the organism in Eukaryota, Metazoa, Chordata, Aves, Pelecaniformes, Threskiornithidae.